Molecule: long non-coding RNA, 2676 nt
Filed under: Cucumis sativus (cucumber)
Lineage: Eukaryota; Viridiplantae; Streptophyta; Magnoliopsida; Cucurbitales; Cucurbitaceae
Description: long non-coding RNA (CSAT_LNC001364)
Source: RNAcentral
GUUGCAGUCCCCAUAGAUAUAUCUGAAUCCAUGCCUGCGGUCACCUCAGAAACAGAAAUACCUUUAGAAGUACUGGACGAUAGUUUUCCAGUAAGAGAUUUUUCAUCUUCUAGGAUGUCAGAUUCCAGAUGAACACUUGACUCUUCAGGUUUGGAUGAUCUUGGUCUCUUGUUUCUUUGUUCUGGAUUUUUGUUCUUUGUUUGCUGCAAGUAAUGAAUGCAUGAAAGUAAACAGUGAGGAUCUGGCAAGUAUCUUGCUGCAAAAGAAACAGACUUGGACAUCAAACCUGGAAACAACUUUGCAAGAACAACAGCAAUGCCACAGGAAUUAGCAAGUUGUAAAUGAAUACAAGUAAGAGGUCAAGCAAACCAUACAUGGAAUAGAAGUAAAUGCUAAUUGACAAUACAGAAGACAAGUGCUCAGGAAAUUCAGUAUGCCAUCAACUAGUGGUCUUAUCAUGUAUCUUACACUAAUUAAGCAGAUCAGACUCCAACAUGAUGCAGAAUAUUCCUUCAAAUGGUAUGAGUUGGACAAAAAAUUUAUGAAGAUUCUGUUGUGCUACAGAACAUCAAGAUAAAAAAAAAAGGAAUUUUUACCUCAAGGAUGCAUUGGUUACUGCAAGGUUUUCUUUCUUCCUCAUGCUCAGGCCAAUAGAGCUGCUUCUCAUUCUGUGAGACAAGAUACCCAGUAAAGUCAUGGAAAGAGAAACAAUUACAUAGGCUACAACAGUCGACAAGAAAUGUACAUUGGGUUUGCUUACUGGAUAGAUUAAUGACUGAGAACAUCCAUGUAGACGGCAAUCAAACACCUGUCAGUGGGAUGCAUACAGCAAAUGAGCAAGAGCAUUACCGAUUGAACAAACACCUUGGAAUGUAAAUGGCUGUAUAAUAUUAAUAUUAUUGAUUGAACAAUACUUUUAGUUCCUAAAGUACGACUCACUUUCAGUUUAUAUUCUCAUCACCAUCUUCUAACCCUUGAUUCUGUCUCCAAGUUAUUAGUUGAAAUUAAAUUGGUCUUUAACUUUUACUAUCAGGAGAAUUAAGAUACCAACACCGCUCUUUCUUACAGGAAAAUUCCAGAUGACAUGGAUUCAAAGUUUUGAAGGACAAAAUAGAACAUAAAAAACACUGGGGACCAACAUGAAAAACAAGGGGACAAACCUACUCUAACUUGCUUAAACAAAUGACUAAAAAAUCCCUUACCAUACAACGACGACAAAAGAGGUUAUCAAAAGAAUCUAACGUUGAACUGAGGCUCUUGUAUAAAGAUAUUCCCUUCUUAAACACAGAUUCUUCCAAAACUUUAGAACUCAAAUCUGCUCUGUAAUUCCUUUCCUUAAGUACAUUACACCGCUCCUGAAAAUAACAGAAAAUGAGUGUUUCAAGCAAUAGAAAGGAUGAAGGCUCCAAUCAAAUUUUUUGACAGCAAAAUAACCUCGUGCAUGCAUAAAUACAUAUAUAUCAUGAAAAUAUAUAUAAUACAUACGUAUGCAAAGUAUAAUCAGCAUGUCUACAGAGUGUGUUUCACCAUGUCUAUUCAGAUUACCUGGAUUUCUGAUGUGGUACAGCCAAUAGAAUGGCUUAAAAGCUGAAGUACAUUCUCGCCUACUCCAUGUUCCUGAAUAAUUAUCCUGGAAAUACAACAAAGAAGAAAAAAUUGAUCUUAACUGAUCUAUGUAGGUUAUAAUUUCAAAAAUCAUAUAUAAGCAGACAUUGCUACAUUAAUUCAUUUUCCAACAUAUUUGGCUCAUGCAUUGCCUCAUCACUGAAAGCAUUAAACAACAGGUCAAGUACUCAAGUUCAUCUGGUCUCCAAAACAGAAAAUUCACCAGCAAUCUAAGAAUAUAAUAAACAAAGAGGAAGAAAUGCAUGAAUAGUUGAAGAUACUGGAUCCUGAAAUAACCAACACAGGAAGAAAUAAAACAGCUAAAAAUCACCUCUGAAUAUUUAAGCAGUUGUAUGAAGAACCAGAAAUACAGUUCAUAUCAAUAUAUACAAGGCAAGCAGUAUCUAAUUUAGCUCACCAUAACACACGGUCUUCACCUUCAGAAAACUCAUGUUUUUCAUCCUCUGGUUCUGCAAGCUCUUCCUCACUGUCACUACAGAUCAAGGCUUCACUGCCAUGCUGAUCAUAAUAAAUGCGUCUUCUACCGACCACUGACUGGUCUUCAGCCAUUCUUUGAUUCCUGUGCUGUGAGUGACAAAUUUGAGAUAGAUAUGAUAGAUAUAAAACAACAAAGUACUUAUUUAUAAUAGCUUGAGGCCUGAGAGCAUUUGUAUGGGGUGUUUGGGCCCUAACUUUGAGUGGGAUAGCCAACUCUAUGUUGGAGGCUCCAAUUAUAAUAGUGUUGGUUUCCGGCUAUUAUAACAUACAAUUAACUUCAAUAUCACUAUAUCAAAACUACACUAUUGCUAUAUCAAAUCUUUAGCAGUGUUUACUAUUUUCUACUAAUACUCUAAUCAGUAUUUACUUUAUUCUGUUCAAACUAAAAUAGUCUACAGCCCGUACUAUUAUCACCCAAAGACAAAUAAUCACUAACUAUAAAAAUCAACACAGUUCCUAAACACCCUCUAUAGGUUGUGAAGAAAAAUAUAUCAACAUUUCCUUUACUUAGAGAUAGAGGAAACUUCAAGUAUAUCCAUCACCGGACUGUUAAAGUGAAUUUUAAGUGGAAAC